Molecule: ribosomal RNA, 517 nt
Filed under: uncultured bacterium
Lineage: Bacteria
Description: bacterial SSU rRNA
Rfam family: Bacterial small subunit ribosomal RNA
Source: RNAcentral
AGAGUUGAUCAUGGCUCAGGAUGAACGCUAGCUACAGGCUUAACACAUGCAAGUCGAGGGGCAGCAUUGAGAUAGCUUGCUAUUCAGAUGGCGACCGGCGCACGGGUGAGUAACGCGUAUCCAACCUUCCCGUUAAUAGGGGAUAGCCCGGUGAAAAUCGGAUUAAUACCUAUGUUGUUCGAAGCAGACAUCUAAUUGAACCAAAGGUUUACCGCUAAGGGAUGGGGAUGCGUCUGAUUAGGUAGUAGGCGGGGUAACGGCCCACCUAGCCGACGAUCAGUAGGGGUUCUGAGAGGAAGGUCCCCCACAUUGGAACUGAGACACGGUCCAAACUCCUACGGGAGGCAGCAGUGAGGAAUAUUGGUCAAUGGGCGCGAGCCUGAACCAGCCAAGUAGCGUGCAGGACGACGGCCCUAUGGGUUGUAAACUGCUUUUAUACAGGGAUAAAGUCACCUACGUGUAGGUGUUUGUAGGUACUGUAUGAAUAAGGACCGGCUAAUUCCGUGCCAGCCGCUGC